Molecule: long non-coding RNA, 300 nt
Organism: Hibiscus syriacus
Lineage: Eukaryota; Viridiplantae; Streptophyta; Magnoliopsida; Malvales; Malvaceae
Exons: 3
Source: RefSeq, a predicted model, not a curated record
UUUUCUCAGUUUUCAGAUUCAGAUUUGAAGCUUGAUUUAUUCCACCUCCAUAUGCUGAUUUAGUUUAGAUAUCAUUAAAUAAAAAAUGAUGAAAGGGUUGCUAAAAGGUCUUAAAUACUUUACUCACAUAUUUGAAAGCGAAAAAGAGCCUGAAAUGCAGAUUGGUCUGCCGACAGAUGUAAAGCACGUGGCUCAUAUAGGAUGGGAUGGUCCUUCAACAGUACAGUCUAAACCUAGCUGGAUGAAUGAGUUUCAAACACCAACAGGAGGGUUUCAGACACCACCUUUAGCUCUUGGAGG